UUUUUUUAUCUUUCUUAUUUUUCGUUUUCUCUAGCACCCAACUCCUCCCACCUGCUCUCUCUCCGACAAAGCCGCGACCCCUCUCUGUUAAAUCCUCCACACCACCCCCGCCGACCGUCGACCAGGGGAGGCGAUCGAAAAGAGCUCGCCGAUUCGGGCUGUGGUCUGUGCGUGACGCUUUCCGGCGCUAGCCCAUCGAGUUUUCCACCACUCCCCAAAUUGUAAUUCCUCUAGAUUAGAAUCUGUCAUUUGUGGGAUUUUAUUUUUUCCGCUUCUGUGCGUUGCAUAUUCCCGGCCAUUACCUGCGAUUGGAUCGGUAAUAGGGGUUUAAUUUUACUGCUGUCCAAAUGAAUUUUGGGCUUAUUUAUUAUUCGUCGUCUUUGCUUCGUUUUCCUUGAACGAAAACUUCGUUAUGUAUGGUAGUGUUGAUGUUUUCGAUGAUGACUAAACAUAUGAUUGAUGAUAAAUAUGGAUGUUAUUUAAAGUUUUUUACUUAUUUAUGUUAUAUUUGAUUUGUUUAGCGAAAUUUGUGGUCGAUCAUGAAUCUACAUCUAUAAACUAUACGUCUGUUUGUUAGAAUUCAGAAUUUUAAUAUAUGGAGCUUUGUUGGU
Molecule: long non-coding RNA, 611 nt
Filed under: Erythranthe guttata (spotted monkey flower)
Lineage: Eukaryota; Viridiplantae; Streptophyta; Magnoliopsida; Lamiales; Phrymaceae
Description: long non-coding RNA (EGUT_LNC001029)
Source: RNAcentral